GCUUUCUUUUGAUUAGUGUGAACAUGGUAUAUCUUUUCCUGUACUUUCUCAGAGUAGUCUGUUCUCAGGCCAAGCUUGCUUCCUACUCUGCCAUAAGGUGAGCCACCUCUACCUGCCUGGAGAUCAACCUGCGGUCAUCCAGUUCCACCAGUGCCUGGCUGGAGCUAUAAGUUGGUGCUGUUUGCCAGGGUUGAUGUCUGCAGAGGGCCAGGGGAAUUCCAAGCAAGGGAAGCAAGGAGAGCUUCUUGGACUCCUCAAGGUCUUCUGUAGAGUGAGUGAAGGAAGCAGGGAAAGGGGUCCCAGCACAAUGGCCAGCCCUCCAAAGGCUCUGGGCCCCACAUGGGGACCGAAUGUGGAGUGAGGUAGCAGUGAGAAGGGGAGACAUCCUGGCUACCUAGGUGGUCCCUUGCUUCUUGUAGCUUUCUAAUCAUUUGUAGCUGGUUCUGGCAGCACCCAGAGCAGAACAGUGGGAGGAACUGGGAACUACUAUAGGUGGCGGAGGGAGUGGGACAAGGGUUGAAACCCUAUCUGCUGGCUACCGUGCCCACUACCUGGGUGACAGGAUCAAUCAUACUCCAAGCCUCAGCAUCAUGCAAUCGACCCGGGUAACAAACCUGUACGUGUACCCUCUGAAUCUAGAAUAAAAGUUAAAAUUAUAUGUAAAAAAAGGAUUAUGUUUUUCUAGUCUAGGUGGAUGAUCAGAUGGCUUCUCUCUUUCCUAACAGCAUUUACGGCCCUUCAACAUGGGGUGAGACACUGGUCUGAGAAGAACUUUGUUAAUUGUAUCUCCUAGGAGCACUCUGAACUAUUUAGUCUCCAUUCCCAGAGUGAAACACACAAACCCUCUUUGGAUUGCCAUCUUUCCCCUCCCUUUCAGCCCGGAUUCCUAGGAGUUAGCAUUCGCAUUUUUCGCAUUUGGGAGAAACUAUCUGCCCCUUGUGGAGAAGCUCUUGCCUCCUUGAAGAGACAAACCCAAUUUUAUCCCUUCUGAACCAUUGCAAGGUUUCUGCCAGUUGUAU
This 1019-nucleotide long non-coding RNA is filed under the name Macaca mulatta (Rhesus monkey). Its description in RNAcentral is "lncRNA (ENSMMUG00000042207.2)". The record is from RNAcentral. Lineage: Eukaryota; Metazoa; Chordata; Mammalia; Primates; Cercopithecidae.